This 899-nucleotide ribosomal RNA is filed under the name uncultured Bacillota bacterium. Its description in RNAcentral is "bacterial SSU rRNA". It matches the Rfam family "Bacterial small subunit ribosomal RNA", at positions 1 to 901 of the family's 1533-position model. The record is from RNAcentral. Lineage: Bacteria; Bacillati; Bacillota.
GGAUCCAGACUUUGAUCCUGGCUCAGGACGAACGCUGGCGGCGUGCUUAGCACAUGCAAGUCGAACGAUGAAGUUAUGACGGAGGCUUCGGCCGACUGAAUAAUGGAUUAGUGGCGGACGGGUGAGUAACGCGUGAGUAACCUGCCUUUCAGAGAGGAAUAACAUUUGGAAACGAAUGGUAAUACCACAUAACAUUACGUUCUCGCAUGGGGAUGUAAUCAAAGAUUUAUCGCUGAGAGAUGGACUCGCGUCCGAUUAGCUGGAUGGUGAGGUAACGGCCCACCAUGGCGACGAUCGGUAGCCGGACUGAGAGGUUGAACGGCCACAUUGGGACUGAGACACGGCCCAGACUCCUACGGGAGGCAGCAGUGGGGAAUAUUGCACAAUGGGGGAAACCCUGAUGCAGCAACGCCGCGUGAAGGAAGACGGUCUUCGGAUUGUAAACUUUUGUUCUUGGUGAAGAAGAAUGACGGUAGCCAAGGAGGAAGCCACGGCUAACUACGUGCCAGCAGCCGCGGUAAUACGUAGGUGGCAAGCGUUGUCCGGAAUUACUGGGUGUAAAGGGAGCGCAGGCGGGAAAUCAAGUUGGAUGUGAAAUGUCGGGGCUUAACCCCGGAACUGCAUCCAAAACUGAUAUUCUUGAGUGAAGUAGAGGUAGGCGGAAUUCCGAGUGUAGCGGUGAAAUGCGUAGAUAUUCGGAGGAACACCAGUGGCGAAGGCGGCCUACUGGGCUUUAACUGACGCUGAGGCUCGAAAGUGUGGGGAGCAAACAGGAUUAGAUACCCUGGUAGUCCACACUGUAAACGAUGAUUGCUAGGUGUGGGGGGUCUGACCCCCUCCGUGCCGGAGUUAACGCAAUAAGCAAUCCACCUGGGGAGUACGGCCGCAAGGUUGCAACU